RNAcentral lists this ribosomal RNA (253 nucleotides) under uncultured bacterium. RNAcentral's name for it is "partial 16S ribosomal RNA". It matches the Rfam family "Bacterial small subunit ribosomal RNA", at positions 524 to 776 of the family's 1533-position model. The record is from RNAcentral.
UACAGAGGUGGCAAGCGUUGUUCGGAAUUACUGGGCGUAAAGGGCGCGUAGGCGGCCCACUAAGUCAGACGUGAAAUCCCCCGGCUUAACCUGGGAACUGCGUCUGAUACUGGAGGGCUUGAGUAUGGGAGAGGGAUGUAGAAUUCCAGGUGUAGCGGUGAAAUGCGUAGAUAUCUGGAGGAAUACCGGUGGCGAAGGCGGCAUCCUGGACCAGUACUGACACUCAAGUGCGAAAGCGUGGGGAGCAAACAGG